Molecule: ribosomal RNA, 120 nt
Filed under: uncultured bacterium
Lineage: Bacteria
Description: partial 16S ribosomal RNA
Rfam family: Bacterial small subunit ribosomal RNA
Source: RNAcentral
CAGCGACGCCGCGUGAGCGAUGAAGGCCUUCGGGUCGUAAAGCUCUGUCAGAAGGGGAAGAAUUCAUGACGGUACCCUCAGAGGAAGCCCCGGCUAACUACGUGCCAGCAGCCGCGAUAA